RNAcentral lists this ribosomal RNA (471 nucleotides) under Triticum aestivum (bread wheat). RNAcentral's name for it is "partial small subunit ribosomal RNA". Lineage: Eukaryota; Viridiplantae; Streptophyta; Magnoliopsida; Poales; Poaceae. The record is from RNAcentral.
UCUCCUUCCGAGAUGACCAAACAAUUCUCUGCUUGCAAUUGGGUUCCGUCCCGGAUCACGGAAACACAAAUCAAUGGAUAUGUCACCACUAGCGCUUUAGCCUCAAAAAGGGUCCUUCAUUGGCGAGUUCCGGACUUUGAAUGUCCACCUGAACCUCAAGAUGGAGAAGUGAUUGUAUUUAUGCAACACUUGGACCGGGGAUUCAGCCCGCCCGGAUCAAAAAAAUUCCAGGAUGUCCUCGCAAGUUUCCAACUCCAUCCACAAGAUAUUGGACCGAACUCUGUGUCCAAUAUAUGCAACUUUCAAGUAUUCUGCGAAGUCUACCUUCAAGAAGAGCCAUCCGUGGAGUUGUUCCAGGAUUUCUUUCAUCUGAACCGCCGUACAGAAUUCUCGGAUGGUUGCAACACAGAGCUUGGUGGCGUUUCAAUUCAGAAAAGGAAAGAAGUUGACUUCCCUCAUGCAAAACAUCAU